Molecule: ribosomal RNA, 254 nt
Filed under: uncultured bacterium
Lineage: Bacteria
Description: partial 16S ribosomal RNA
Rfam family: Bacterial small subunit ribosomal RNA
Source: RNAcentral
UACGGGGGGAGCAAGCGUUGUUCGGAUUUACUGGGCGUAACGGGCGCGUAGGCGGCCACCGCAAGUCGGUUGUGAAAUCUCUGGGCUUAACCCAGAAAGGUCAACCGAUACUGCGGGGCUAGAGUGCAGAAGGGGCAACUGGAAUUCUCGGUGUAGCGGUGAAAUGCGUAGAUAUCGAGAGGAACACCUGCGGCGAAGGCGGGUCUCUGGGCCACUACUGACGCUGAGGAGCGAAAGCGUGGGGAGCGAACAGG